Molecule: unclassified non-coding RNA, 276 nt
Filed under: Hevea brasiliensis (rubber tree)
Lineage: Eukaryota; Viridiplantae; Streptophyta; Magnoliopsida; Malpighiales; Euphorbiaceae
Source: RNAcentral
AAAAUUUUUUGAUUAAAUAUGGACCAAAUUGUGAUAUUAAUCAAAUCCCAAGAGCUAAAUAGUAAAUUUUCCUUAAUUGAAUAAGUAAUAUAUUUAUCUUCUCACUUAAAUUAACAGCAAUAUUAGAUGGAAGGACCUAUGAUUUUGACAGAAGAAUAAUUGAUAGACCAAGUCAUUCAAUUUCCAAAAUAAAUGGACCAAAUAAUAAAUUUCCCAAAAAAUAAUAAGAGUGGAGUUCAUAUAAAAAUCACAUCUCUCUUUCUUUUCUUUUUUUUU